UUAGCGAACCUAAAAUGAAUACCCAUUAUAGCCUUUAACCAUGCCGCGCAGAGCAAAGGUCGGAAGAAUGGCAAGCUAUUUACCGGAGGAAGUGGUUGUGAAGAUACUGUCGAGGCUGCCUCCAAAAUGUCUGAUCCGAUUCAAGAGUGUCUCCAAAAGAUGGCGUGCUCUCAUAGGAAGCCCUGAUUUCCUCUCCAAAAACCUCCUCAAUGACUCCAUUCUCACCCAGAACCCCAGUCAUCCUCUCCGUCAUAUCCUCCUCUUUGCCAGAGACAAGUACGACCUCGGAACGCUAAUACACUCUUUCCGCUCUUACGACUCUCUCCACUGCGUUCCUCAAACACCUCUGAAUCUCCCAACAGCACCACCACCCUUUGACGUCGUCGCUUCCUGUAAUGGCUUGCUCUGUCUCUGGGCCGUAACGCUAAGCAACAUCUAUCUCUGGAAUCCCGCCACGUCAUCAGACCUUGAGGCUCUCCCGGCCGCGCCUUCUCGCUGUCACACCGGACUUAGGGUCUCUAACCCUGAUUUUGGGUUCCAUAAUGUGGGGUUCGGUUUCGACGCGGGAUCCAACGACUUCAAGGUGGUCACACUUGUAGACACAGAUGAGGACGGGUGGUUGGAAGCCGAAAUAUACAGCCUAAAAUCUGGAUCUUGGAGACCGCUUGAUAUGAGCGUGAACAUUGAGAUACAUCUCGUUUCGCAGAGCGCAGCGUUGGAUGGGGUUUUUCUAUGGUACGACGACUACACAUACGACGAUUGUGUGGACGACAGAAUAGUUGUUUUUGACUUCAACGACGAGGAGUUCCAAAUAAUGCAGUUUCCAGAUGCUAGCCUUUUUUGUGAUUACGAUGAAUACACUCGGACUCUCACGGAGUUGAAGGGAUCUGUUGCUAUGAUGGUUUUUGCUCUUGAUGACGACGAGAAAAAGAAAGAUUUGGAAAUAUGGGUUAUGCUUGAAUUUGGUGUUAGUGAGUCGUGGACUAGACUUCUUAUCAUUCAACUCCCAUUGCAUUUGGAAAGGCCAUUGAGGUUUUGGAAGAACGGAGAGUUGCUUAUGGAGAAUAAUGAGGGGCAAGUGGUAUUGUAUGAUCUUUUGGUACAAACAGAGACGAAUCUUCAGUUUGAAGGGUAUCGGGGAACGUUAAUAGUUGUAGACUGCAAUUUUUUUCAGUUUGAAGGAAUGGGGAGUGGUGUCAUACCUACCCCGUCAUGUUCAUGUUGUUUGCAUUACGCCACCCAAUUCAACGACCAUGAAGACUGUAGGAGAAAACAACAGGAGAUAGAGCAGAAAUUGGAAGACACACAAAUCUUACUGCGGGAUAUGCAAGAAGGUAUGUCGAAGAUGCAGGAAGAGAUAGAUAUGUUAAUGGCACUUGUAAGAAGGCCUGGAGGGAGCUUUGGAGGUGAUCCAAGCCAAGGCAACCUGUGAGUGGGGUGUAGCUGCAAGUGAGAGUUCUAGAAAGAGAGUCACUAGAAUGACUUCGAACUGCAAAUUAGAGAUCUGGAGCCAAAUGGUUGAUGAUUGGCUUGAAAGAUUGAUUGAUGAAAAUGGGGAGGACUUGUAAAGAAUGAAGGGCAUCUUUUGUUGCAAUGAAUUUAGAGUUUUGAAGACCUCAACUGUGCAUGUAGGAUUGACUCAAGUACUCACCUAUCUUUGAAGCAGUUUGUUUUGAUUUUGAAUUAGUAAAUAGCAAUGUCUGAAACAUUUUAGCCAUGAAUAUCUUUCUCUCUCUCUAUCUAUCUAUCUAUGUAUAUAUAUAUAUAAUAUGUGUAAAUAUUCCAAACUGUAGGACCUGUUUGUUGUGUAGGAAAUGUCUCUUUAGAGUUUAGACAGUCAUGUACUCGUUAUAAGUUUCUGCUGCUUCAUUUAAAAUUA
Alnus glutinosa is the source of this 1879-nucleotide RNA transcript. It is a transcript of the gene named F-box/kelch-repeat protein At3g23880-like, with no coding region annotated. NCBI's taxonomy places the organism in Eukaryota, Viridiplantae, Streptophyta, Magnoliopsida, Fagales, Betulaceae. The record is from RefSeq and is a predicted model, not a curated record. The transcript has 5 exons.